CUUUAUUUUUGUCACUUAUCUGCUUGAUAUUGUAUUGAUAUCGCAAGGAGAAAUUCUGUCUUGGUCACUUAUGGGAGUUAAAGGGUUAACGUACUGCCUAGUCGUAGUGGUGAAGCAAACACGAGUAAAUGAUGUUGCACGGGUCUCCAGCUUAUUUAUCUUAUAGCAUUCAAAUAGAUACACUCCACUCUAGUCCGCCUCUCCCCUCCCCUGGUGCCUUACCCACUGGUCAUGUUGAACCUGUUUUGCGUGGUCACGUGUCGGUGGUUGAUCACUUGAUGUUCCCAUGCGGUGUUCAGCUUUUGUUUGUUUCACCAUUGGAAACCUUGUACUUUUUAUCUUGCUUUGGUAAGUUGAUGCAGGUAACUUGUUUUGUUAACACUUGUGUCCCAGUACAGGCAGCACAGCUGAAGGAAGCGAUGAGGUAUGUAUGGUUUUCGUUUCCUUGAGGUACCAUUGAGAUCUUCUAGAGAGUUCUUGUCAUAAUUUUUGUACUUUUCUAUUUGCUUUUUGUAAUAAAAUUCAGUUUCUUUUUGA
Molecule: long non-coding RNA, 537 nt
Organism: Pocillopora damicornis (cauliflower coral)
Lineage: Eukaryota; Metazoa; Cnidaria; Anthozoa; Scleractinia; Pocilloporidae
Source: RefSeq, a predicted model, not a curated record